Molecule: ribosomal RNA, 253 nt
Filed under: uncultured bacterium
Lineage: Bacteria
Description: partial 16S ribosomal RNA
Rfam family: Bacterial small subunit ribosomal RNA
Source: RNAcentral
UACGUAGGGGGCAAGCGUUGUCCGGAAUCAUUGGGCGUAAAGCGCGCGUAGGUGGCCCGAUAAGUCUGCUGUGAAAGUCCAGGGCUCAACCCUGGAAUGCCGGUGGAUACUGUCGGGCUAGAGUUCGGAAGAGGCAAGUGGAAUUCCUGGUGUAGCGGUGGAAUGCGCAGAUAUCAGGAGGAACACCAAUGGCGAAGGCAGCUCACUGGGACGGUAUUGACGCUGAGACGCGAAAGCGUGGGGAGCAAACAGG